UUCUUGAAUCGUAUUAGUUCUUGGAAUAAGGUCUGGGAAAGACCGGUGCCAGCCGCCGCGGUAAUACCGGCAGCUCAAGUGGUCGUCGCUUUUAUUGGGCCUAAAACGUCCGUAGCCUGUUUUGGUAAAUCUGUGGGUAAAUCAACGAGCUUAACUCGUUGAAUUCUGCAGAGACUGCCAGACUAGGGACCGGGAGAGGUAUGAGGUACUCUGAGGGUAGGGGUAAAAUCCUGUCAUCCUCAGAGGACCACCUGUUGCGAAGGCGUCAUACUGGAACGGAUCCGACGGUCAGGGACGAAGCCUAGGGGCACGAACCGGAUUAGAUACCCGGGUAGUCCUAGGUGUAAACGCUGUGGAUUUGGUGUGUGGGGUCCGCAAUGGGCCCCAUGUGCCGGAGUGAAGAUGUUAAAUCCACUGCCUGGGGAGUACGGUCGCAAGGCUGAAACUCAAAGGAAUGACGGAUCACUA
Molecule: ribosomal RNA, 468 nt
Filed under: uncultured euryarchaeote
Lineage: Archaea; Methanobacteriati; Methanobacteriota
Description: bacterial SSU rRNA
Rfam family: Archaeal small subunit ribosomal RNA
Source: RNAcentral